This 84-nucleotide transfer RNA is filed under the name Candidatus Aerophobota bacterium. Its description in RNAcentral is "tRNA-Leu". It matches the Rfam family "tRNA". From Rfam's summary of the family: Transfer RNA (tRNA) molecules are approximately 80 nucleotides in length. RNAcentral also lists the same sequence under 1 other name. The record is from RNAcentral. Lineage: Bacteria; Candidatus Aerophobota.
GCCGGGAUGGCGGAAUAGGCAGACGCGCAUGGUUGAGGGCCAUGUGGAGGUUACUCCGUGGGGGUUCAAAUCCCCCUCCCGGCA